RNAcentral lists this transfer RNA (73 nucleotides) under Cavia porcellus (domestic guinea pig). It matches the Rfam family "tRNA". From Rfam's summary of the family: Transfer RNA (tRNA) molecules are approximately 80 nucleotides in length. Their secondary structure includes four short double-helical elements and three loops (D, anti-codon, and T loops). Further hydrogen bonds mediate the characteristic L-shaped molecular structure. tRNAs have two regions of fundamental functional importance: the anti-codon, which is responsible for specific mRNA codon recognition, and the 3' end, to which the tRNAs corresponding amino acid is attached (by aminoacyl-tRNA synthetases). tRNAs cope with the degeneracy of the genetic code in two manners: having more than one tRNA (with a specific anti-codon) for a particular amino acid; and 'wobble' base-pairing, i.e. permitting non-standard base-pairing at the 3rd anti-codon position. Lineage: Eukaryota; Metazoa; Chordata; Mammalia; Rodentia; Caviidae. The record is from Rfam by way of RNAcentral.
GGGGAUGUAGCUUAGCAACAUAAGUGCCUGCCUGGCAAGCGUGAGGUCUUGAGUUCGAUUCCCAGUACCCUCG